Molecule: ribosomal RNA, 3112 nt
Filed under: Triticum aestivum (bread wheat)
Lineage: Eukaryota; Viridiplantae; Streptophyta; Magnoliopsida; Poales; Poaceae
Description: partial small subunit ribosomal RNA
Source: RNAcentral
CCUUUCCCACUCUUUCCCACCCCACCGUGUCUGGCCACCUAGCGGCUAGCGGCUAGCGCUCCGACUCCCACGUACCCCACCCGCCCGCCAACAAGAUGGGCUCCGGCUCCGCACCGUCGCCUCUGUUCGACAGCUGCUCCAACGCCUGAUCUGAAAGGAACCGCUGCGACGGACGGGCGCGCGCGCGUGGCGAGAUGACGUGAACGCCUCCCCGAAAAAGGGUUUGCCGUCUGCAGAUAGACGCGGCGCCCCCCCGUUUACCUGCUUAUUUAUUGCUGCGGUGGCCGGUGAGGCGCGGGUCGGCGUAGCCGCUAGGCUCGACUCGCAGUCACAAUUGCUGUUCCGAUAGCACAAAGCCGCCACCGCAGGCAGCUCCAUACUGUCUUCCCAGUCUCCGUUACUGCUGCUAUCCGGCACGCGCCGGGGGUCAGGCGGCACAGGGAAAGUGCCGUGCCUGGUCACAGGACACUGGACGUCGUUGGGGAUCCGGAGAUGGAAGAAGCAGAUGGGAGUGGAGGAGGCAUCCGCUCCGUGCUGCCUCUCGGCUCGCUCAUCUCUCCGUCCGGGAACGAGGUGCUUCUCCACCAUGCUCCGUGCUUCUACUUCCGCUUUGGCUCUUAGUCAUCUUUAUUUUCUUUCUUCCUCGGUUUCAAGUUCCUUGCUGUUCUUUGGUUAAACCAGAAUGAUUUGCCUAGCUGGGUUUGAUUUCGGAUCUCUUAUUCUAUCACGCAAGGGUAGAUAUAACGGACGACGAAGUGGAUAGUACUCGUACAAUUCUUCUUAAUAUAUUUUGCGUUAAAAUCAGUCAGACAAAAGUUCAGAUUCUUCUUAGUAAUAGAUUUUGUGUUAAAUUCAGUCAGACAAAAAUUCAUAUUCCUAGUAUAUUAAAAAAAAAACUAGUCAAGAUCCAAUUUAAGAGUAGUUCAAGUUGGAACACUUUACGCGAAGUGCUUUAGGUCAGCUUGAACAAUCGAAAAAAGCUUUUCCUUCCAUCUGGUUUUCACGAUGAAGCUCUCUCAAACGAGGCAAAGCCAAGAAAAAUGAAGACGCUUAUCUGUACUUCCGUGCAUGUUCUUGAGCUCCUUCGGCUAGCUCCAACAAGUGCACGCCUCUCACGCUUUUUUAAUCUAUAAAGAAGUUCAGCUUAUGAAUUCUUUUACAAGAAGCUCACUAAGCAUCCCAAACAAACAAGAUCAAUAUACGUUGAUGUCACUUUUUACCUAGGAAAUAACACUAUGAAUUUUGGACUACAAAACUGAACUUGUAAUACUCAAAAACUCAUGCAGUUUCCGAUUAUUCUUUUUUAUACUAGAAGAUUAAUAUACUCCCUCCGUCCCAAAAAUAAGUGCCUUAAUUUUAUACUGAAACCGGCAUAUCAUCUUGAGAUUUACGAAGUCACCGUAGGAACCCUGGCGGGCUGGGGAUACCACAGUCCCUCUGACCAUCCAACCACAGAUUGGUUCGGAAAAAAAAAUCGCCUCACAUUUAUACGGUCUUCUUUUCCGGUGAACUAUUCCUUUCCCCUCUCUCUUGCCAAGUUGCCAUCAUUUUGCCCAUCAAAAAAAAAGUUGCCAUCAUUUUGUUUUCUUUUCUGUGAACGGUGAUCAUGACUCGCCUGAUGAAACCGGCGAACACGUGUCCCCUAACUAAUCUUCACAGGUGGAGCUCCCGGAGCUAGACGGCAAGAUCAUCGGCCUAUACUUCGCCGCCAACUGGUACCCCAAGUGCGAGGCCUUCACCCCGGCGCUGGCCGCCGCGUACGAGCAGCUCAGGGCGCGCGGCGCCGGCUUCGAGGUCGUCUUCGUGUCGUGCGACGAGGACCGGCCUUCCUUCGAGCGGUUCCACCGCGCCAUGCCGUGGCCCGCCGUGCCCUUCGGCGACCUCCGCUGCAAGAAGAGCCUCAGCGACAUGUUCCAGGUCGAGGGCAUCCCGCGCCUGGUGGUGCUCGCCCCGGGCGGCGCCGAGGUCGUCUGCUCCGACGCCGUCGAGCUCGUGCACCGCUACGGUGACCCGGCGUUCCCGUUCACCCCGGCCAGGGUGGCGGAGCUGGAGGCCGACGAGCGGAGCAAGUUCGCCUCCCAGACGCUGGAGAAGCUCUUCUCCGUCGGCCACGUCAACGGCGGCGACGAACAGCUGCUGGCCUCACCGUGGCUAAGGGCUGCAGGUCCCCAUCUCGAGCCUGGUCGGGAAGACGGUGGGGCUCUACUUCUCGGCGCACAGGUGCGAGCCGUGCGUCAAGUUCACCGCGAGGCUGGCCGCCAUAUACGGCAAUCUGAAGGGCAAGUCGGCGGAGUUCGAGGUGGUGUACAUCCCCAUGGACAAGGAGGAGGAUGGGUACGAGCGGUCGCGCGGCGACAUGCCGUGGCUGGCGCUGCCCUACGACGGCGAAGGCGUGCCGUCGCGGGCGCUGGCCAGGUACUUCGACGUGCGGGAGAUCCCGACGCUGGUGGUGAUCGGGCCCGACGGCAAGACGGUGACGAGGGACGGGAGGAACCUGGUGAACCUCUACUUCGACAUGGCGUUCCCGUUCACGGAGGAGCAGGUGAGGCGGCAGCAGGAGCUGGAGGACGAGGCGGCCAAGGGGUACGCGCCGUCGCUGCGCCACGCCGGGCACCGGCACGAGCUGAGCGUCGUGUCGGAGAAGUCGGGCGGAGGGCCGUACGUCUGCUGUGAGUGCGACGAGCAGGGGUUCGGCUGGGCGUACCAGUGCAUCGCCUGCGGCUACGAGAUACACCUCCGGUGCGGCCGGGACGUGGAAGACGGCGGCGCCGUGGGAGCUGGUCAGUAGGCCGGAGUACGGGACCGUAUUGUAUACCAUUAAUCUGAAUGUUGUGCGUGCGUGCUCUGGAAAAGGUCAUGUUGCUAUGACGAGAAAUGCCCAGUGUGGACUUGCUCUUGGCAAGUCUGAUGAUAGUAGAAUAGACGAGAAAUGCGCAGUGUAGCUUGGUCACGGCUAGCUAGCUGCAACAGAAAAGCAUCGCUGAAUUUGGGCUUCUACUUGUUUUGCUUCUCUUUUUAAUCUGCUCACCCAACGAUCAUUUGAUACUACAUUAGCUUCACCAUACUAUAACGUUCUAGCAGCAAGUGCCAGUAAUUCACUGUUCUAUUCUUC